RNAcentral lists this ribosomal RNA (466 nucleotides) under uncultured bacterium. Its description in RNAcentral is "bacterial SSU rRNA". It matches the Rfam family "Bacterial small subunit ribosomal RNA", at positions 29 to 524 of the family's 1533-position model. The record is from RNAcentral.
AACGAACGCUGGCGGCAGGCCUAACACAUGCAAGUCGAACGCACCGCAAGGUGAGUGGCGCACGGGUGAGUAACACGUAGCUAAUCUGCCCUCAAGACAAGGAUAACUGUAGGAAACUACUGCUAAUACUUGAUAAGCUUACGGACUGUAGAGGUCUAUAAGAAAAGAUUUAUCGCUUGAGGAUGAGGCUGCGCGCCAUCAGCUAGUUGGUAAGGUAAUGGCUUACCAAGGCGACGACGGCUAGGGGACCUGAGAGGGUGACCCCCCCACACUGGGACUGAGACACGGCCCAGACUCCUACGGGAGGCAGCAGUGAGGAAUAUUGCUCAAUGGGCGCAAGCCUGAAGCAGCGACGCCGCGUGGAUGAAGAAGGUUUUCGGACUGUAAAAUCCUUUUCUGUGUGACGAGAGUGGACGGUAGCACAGGAAUAAGUCUCGGCUAACUACGUGCCAGCAGCCGCGGUAAU